Molecule: small RNA, 93 nt
Filed under: Empedobacter stercoris
Lineage: Bacteria; Pseudomonadati; Bacteroidota; Flavobacteriia; Flavobacteriales; Weeksellaceae
Description: Flavo-1 RNA
Rfam family: Flavo-1 RNA
Source: RNAcentral
GAUAGUAGUGGAAAUCCUUUUGUUUGACAAAGGAUUUUGUUUUUAGGUGCUAUGUUACUCCAAACAAAAGAUUGCAGCGGAUAGCCCGACCGA